This 253-nucleotide ribosomal RNA is filed under the name uncultured bacterium. RNAcentral's name for it is "partial 16S ribosomal RNA". It matches the Rfam family "Bacterial small subunit ribosomal RNA", at positions 524 to 776 of the family's 1533-position model. The record is from RNAcentral.
UACAGAGGGUGCGAGCGUUGUUCGGAAUUAUUGGGCGGAAAGGGCGCGUAGGCGGCGCCACAAGUCACCUGUGAAAACUCUGGGCUCAACCCAGAGCCUGCAGGCGAAACUGUGGUGCUGGAGUAUGGGAGAGGUGCGUGGAAUUCCCGGUGUAGCGGUGAAAUGCGCAGAUAUCGGGAGGAACGCCGGUGGCGAAGGCGGUUCUCUGGGCCUGUACUGACGCUGAGGAGCGAAAGCGUGGGGAGCGAACAGG